AGCUCCAAUAGCGUAUAUUUAAGUUGUUGCAGUUAAAAAGCUCGUAGUUGGAUUUCGGGUGGGACGCAGCGGUCUCGCAUUGCGUUUGUACUGCUGCAGCCCUCCUUCUUGCCGGGGGCGGCCCAUCGGACUUCACUGUCCGGGGGUCAGAAUCGGCGAUGUUACUUUGAGUAAAUUAGAGUGUUCAAAGCAAGCUUACGCUCUGAAUAUAAUAGCAUGGGAUAACACGACAGGACUCUGGCCUAUCGUGUUGGUCUAUAGGACCAGAGUAAUGAUUAAGAGGGACAGUCGGGGGCAUUCGUAUUCCGUUGUCAGAGGUGAAAUUCUUGGAUUUACGGAAGACGAACAUCUGCGAAAGCAUUUGCCAAGGAUGUUUUCAU
RNAcentral lists this ribosomal RNA (380 nucleotides) under fish environmental sample. RNAcentral's name for it is "SSU rRNA". It matches the Rfam family "Eukaryotic small subunit ribosomal RNA", at positions 587 to 973 of the family's 1831-position model. Lineage: Eukaryota; Metazoa; Chordata. The record is from RNAcentral.